GCCUAGUUAGCUUGGAGGGUAGUGCGUCUGCCUUGUAAGCGCUAGGUCGUGGGUUCGAUUCCCGCCCGGGGCG
This 73-nucleotide transfer RNA is filed under the name Diaphorina citri (Asian citrus psyllid). It matches the Rfam family "tRNA". From Rfam's summary of the family: Transfer RNA (tRNA) molecules are approximately 80 nucleotides in length. The record is from Rfam by way of RNAcentral. Lineage: Eukaryota; Metazoa; Arthropoda; Insecta; Hemiptera; Psyllidae.